GAUGAAGAACGUAGCGAAAUGCGAUAAGUAAUGUGAAUUGCAGAAUUCAGUGAACCAUCGAAUCUUUGAACGCACAUUGCGCCCCCUGGUAUUCCGGGGGGCAUGCCUGUCCGAGCGUCAUUGCUGCCCUCAAGCACGGCUUGUGUGUUGGGCCUCCGUCCUCCUCCCGGGGGACGGGCCCGAAAGGCAGCGGCGGCACCGCGUCCGGUCCUCGAGCGUAUGGGGCUUCGUCACCCGCUCUUGUAGGCCCGGCCGGCGCUUGCCGACACAUCAAUCUUUUUUCCAGGUUGACCUCGGAUCAGGUAGGGAUACCCGCUGAACUUAAGCAUAUCAAUAAGCGCAGGA
RNAcentral lists this unclassified non-coding RNA (345 nucleotides) under soil metagenome. Its description in RNAcentral is "partial contains 5.8S ribosomal RNA, internal transcribed spacer 2, and large subunit ribosomal RNA". The stretch from base 1 to 120 matches the Rfam family "5.8S ribosomal RNA", at positions 35 to 154 of the family's 154-position model. The record is from RNAcentral.